CCAGAAGUGGUCUGCAAAGAGAUGACUGUGGAUCCCAGAUCCACAUGAGCUCUAUGCUGCCUACAUCUGA
This is a microRNA precursor of Cebus imitator (Panamanian white-faced capuchin), 70 nucleotides long. The record is from Ensembl. NCBI's taxonomy places the organism in Eukaryota, Metazoa, Chordata, Mammalia, Primates, Cebidae.